AGGGAUCAUUACUGAGUUUACGCUCUAUAACCCUUUGUGAACAUACCUAUAACUGUUGCUUCGGCGGGUAGGGUCUCCGUGACCCUCCCGGCCUCCCGCCCCCGGGCGGGUCGGCGCCCGCCGGAGGAUAACCAAACUCUGAUUUAACGACGUUUCUUCUGAGUGGUACAAGCAAAUAAUCAAAACUUUUAACAACGGAUCUCUUGGUUCUGGCAUCGAUGAAGAACGCAGCGAAAUGCGAUAAGUAAUGUGAAUUGCAGAAUUCAGUGAAUCAUCGAAUCUUUGAACGCACAUUGCGCCCGCCAGCAUUCUGGCGGGCAUGCCUGUUCGAGCGUCAUUUCAACCCUCAAGCUCUGCUUGGUGUUGGGGCCCUACAGCUGAUGUAGGCCCUCAAAGGUAGUGGCGGACCCUCCCGGAGCCUCCUUUGCGUAGUAACUUUACGUCUCGCACUGGGAUCCGGAGGGACUCUUGCCGUAAAACCCCCCAAUUUUCCAAAGGUUGACCUCGGAUCAGGUAGGAAUACCCGCUGAA
This 531-nucleotide ribosomal RNA is filed under the name Colletotrichum gloeosporioides. RNAcentral describes it as "eukaryotic LSU rRNA". The stretch from base 184 to 337 matches the Rfam family "5.8S ribosomal RNA". The record is from RNAcentral. Lineage: Eukaryota; Fungi; Ascomycota; Sordariomycetes; Glomerellales; Glomerellaceae.